RNAcentral lists this long non-coding RNA (865 nucleotides) under Rattus norvegicus (Norway rat). RNAcentral describes it as "long non-coding RNA NONRATT022732". The record is from RNAcentral. Lineage: Eukaryota; Metazoa; Chordata; Mammalia; Rodentia; Muridae.
GCUCAAUUUAGUGGUGAAGUGAGUCUUAUCAUGGCUGUCUCUUGGUAACACUAUUUCCUGUUCUGUCGUUGAACACCAGUUAGGCUCUGACUUUCUUGGAGAUUUUCGGGUGCUGACACCAGGUCCCCAGAGCUGGGUGCCCUUGUAGGAGCUAAUGCUUUGGAGCCAGGGCAGGUCAGCUCUGUAAAGGACCAGAUGGUAAAGAUUUGAAUUUAAGGGGCUCAGGGCCCUUCACUCCCAGCUGUUCCCAGCUGUGGUAUAAAGCACUAUGUAUGGCACCUGGGCAGGCUCCUGCCUUGUUGUUUUUGUUUGUUUCUCUUCGUAGCCCUGGCUCUCCUCAGGUCACCUGCCUCAUUCUCCUGAGUACUGGGAUCAAAGGUGUGCACCACCAUGCCCAGCCAGGUUCUGUUUUGAUCCAGAGAAUCAAAUCCAUAACCGUAGAAUCUCUCACACCCCCUUCCCUUCCCCUCCCAUUCUUUGUGAGCCUUGAGAAGUCCUGUACAUGAUGGCCACUGUUCAUGCAUCUGAAGAAGGAAGCUGUUAGUUUGUGAGCCAGAGCUGCCUGGCUUAUCGGCAUGCUCACCCAUCCUCUGUGAGCCUGCAUUUUCUUUUCUUUCUCCUUUGCUGUGUAAUAACUAUAUUUCUAGGUUGUCUCUCAUUACCAGUGAUAGUGUAGUUUGAAAUUAGUACUCCUGUCUGACUGGAAAUUCUUUCUUGCUGUCUUCUCAGUGGAGAAGAUUUUUUCCCGACAUCCAACAGUCUUCUCCAUGGGACGCAUGUGCCUUCCUCAGAGGAAAUUGACAGAAUGGUUUUAGAUCUGGAAAAGCAAAUUGAAAAGAGAGACAAAUACAGCCGAAGACGUCCU